GGAUGAAGAACGUAGCGAAAUGCGAUAAGUAGUGUGAAUUGCAGAAUUCAGUGAAUCAUCGAAUCUUUGAACGCACAUUGCGCCCUUUGGUAUUCCUUAGGGCAUGCCUGUUCGAGCGUCAUUUAAACCUUCAAGCUCAGCUUGGUGUUGGGUGACUGUCCGCUUCACCGCGGACUCGCCUCAAAAUUAUUGGCGGCCGGUACAUUGGCUUCGAGCGCAGCAGAAACGCGAACUCGGGCCCGUCGUAUUGGCUCCCAGAAGCUAUCUUCACAAUUUUGACCUCGGAUCAGGUAGGGAUACCCGCUGAACUUAAGCAUAUCAAUAAGCGGAGGA
This 333-nucleotide unclassified non-coding RNA is filed under the name soil metagenome. RNAcentral's name for it is "partial contains 5.8S ribosomal RNA, internal transcribed spacer 2, and large subunit ribosomal RNA". The stretch from base 2 to 121 matches the Rfam family "5.8S ribosomal RNA", at positions 35 to 154 of the family's 154-position model. The record is from RNAcentral.